AAAAGUCGUAACAAGGUAACCGUAGGUGAACCUGCGGUUGGAUCAUUAAAUUGAAAAAGAGAGAGAAGAAAUUCUCUUGAUUUUUAAACAUUUAGAGAUAAUUGAAUGUUUUUUUUGUGGAAUGAAGAGAGAUUCUUUUUUUCCACAAAUUUAAAUAAUUAAACCCUUUUAAUAUUUAUACUUAUUAUUAUAAAAAAAAACAACUUUUGACAACGGAUCUCUUGGCUCUCG
This 231-nucleotide unclassified non-coding RNA is filed under the name fungal sp. RNAcentral's name for it is "partial internal transcribed spacer region". The stretch from base 1 to 48 matches the Rfam family "Eukaryotic small subunit ribosomal RNA", at positions 1784 to 1831 of the family's 1831-position model. The record is from RNAcentral. Lineage: Eukaryota; Fungi.